Molecule: ribosomal RNA, 599 nt
Filed under: uncultured bacterium
Lineage: Bacteria
Description: bacterial SSU rRNA
Rfam family: Bacterial small subunit ribosomal RNA
Source: RNAcentral
CCUACGGGAGGCAGCAGUGGGGAAUCUUGCGCAAUGGGCGAAAGCCUGACGCAGCCAUGCCGCGUGAAUGAUGAAGGUCUUAGGAUUGUAAAAUUCUUUCACCGAGGACGAUAAUGACGGUACUCGGAGAAGAAGCCCCGGCUAACUUCGUGCCAGCAGCCGCGGUAAUACGAAGGGGGCUAGCGUUGCUCGGAAUUACUGGGCGUAAAGGGAGCGUAGGCGGAUAGUUUAGUCAGAGGUGAAAGCCCAGGGCUCAACCUUGGAAUUGCCUUUGAUACUGGCUAUCUUGAGUACGGAAGAGGUAUGUGGAACUCCGAGUGUAGAGGUGAAAUUCGUAGAUAUUCGGAAGAACACCAGUGGCGAAGGCGACAUACUGGUCCGUUACUGACGCUGAGGCUCGAAAGCGUGGGGAGCAAACAGGAUUAGAUACCCUGGUAGUCCACGCUGUAAACGAUGAGUGCUAGUUGUCGGCAUGCAUGCAUGUCGGUGACGCAGCUACGCAUAAGACACUCCGCCGUCGGGAGGUACGGUCGCGAGAAUUAAACUACGAAGAAGUAGACGGCGUGAGACGUGCCGACGGACGACGACGAGGGAGGAGG